This 476-nucleotide ribosomal RNA is filed under the name uncultured bacterium. Its description in RNAcentral is "bacterial SSU rRNA". It matches the Rfam family "Bacterial small subunit ribosomal RNA", at positions 28 to 496 of the family's 1533-position model. The record is from RNAcentral.
GAUGAACGCUAGCGGCAGGCCUAACACAUGCAAGUCGAACGGUAACAGGGAAAAGCUUGCUUUUCCGCUGACGAGUGGCGCACGGGUGCGCAACGCGUAUAGAACCUACCUUUUACUGGAGAAUAGCCCAGAGAAAUUUGGAUUAAUGCUCCAUAGUAUUGUUUUGAGGCAUCUUAAGAUGAUUAAAGGUUACGGUAAAAGAUGGCUAUGCGUCCUAUUAGUUAGUUGGUAAGGUAACGGCUUACCAAGACGUCGAUAGGUAGGGGCCCUGAGAGGGGGAUCCCCCACACUGGUACUGAGACACGGACCAGACUCCUACGGGAGGCAGCAGUGAGGAAUAUUGGACAAUGGGCGGAAGCCUGAUCCAGCCAUGCCGCGUGCAGGAAGACAGCCCUAUGGGUUGUAAACUGCUUUUAUACAGGAAGAAUAAGUCCCUUUGCGAGGGAUGAUGACGGUACUGUAAGAAUAAGGACCGG